UAGGGUUAGGUGGGUGACUCAGCUUGUGUGUCAAUGAAGAAUGCAGCUAGCUGCUAGAAUUAAUGUGAAUUGCAGGACACCUUGAUCAUAGACUCUUCAAAUGCACUUGUGGCCAUGGGUUCCUCCCGGAGCUACGCCAUCUGAGUGUCA
Ribosomal RNA from Notechis scutatus (mainland tiger snake), 150 nucleotides. It matches the Rfam family "5.8S ribosomal RNA". From Rfam's summary of the family: 5.8S ribosomal RNA (5.8S rRNA) is a component of the large subunit of the eukaryotic ribosome. Lineage: Eukaryota; Metazoa; Chordata; Lepidosauria; Squamata; Elapidae. The record is from Ensembl.